RNAcentral lists this ribosomal RNA (499 nucleotides) under uncultured Glomeromycotina. Its description in RNAcentral is "partial small subunit ribosomal RNA". It matches the Rfam family "Eukaryotic small subunit ribosomal RNA", at positions 591 to 1092 of the family's 1831-position model. Lineage: Eukaryota; Fungi; Glomeromycota. The record is from RNAcentral.
CCAAUAGCGUAUAUUAAAGUUGCUGCAGUUAAAAAGCUCGUAGUUGAAUUUCGGGAUCAGUAUGUCGGUCGUGCCUCGGUACGUACUGGCAUCAUUGGUUUCCCCCUUCUGAAGAACCGCGAUGUCAUUAAUUUGGUGUCGUGGGGAAUCAGGACUGUUACUUUGAAAAAAUUAGAGUGUUUAAAGCAGGCUCACGCUUGAAUACAUUAGCAUGGAAUAAUGAAAUAGGACGUUUGAUUCUAUUUUGUUGGUUUCUAGGAUCGACGUAAUGAUUAAUAGGGAUAGUUGGGGGCAUUAGUAUUCAAUUGUCAGAGGUGAAAUUCUUGGAUUUAUUGAAGACUAACUACUGCGAAAGCAUUUGCCAAGGAUGUUUUCAUUAAUCAAGAACGAAAGUUAGGGGAUCGAAGACGAUCAGAUACCGUCGUAGUCUUAACCAUAAACUAUGCCGACUAGGGAUCGGAUGAUGUUAAUUUUUUAAUGACUCAUUCGGCGCCUUACG